CACGUUUUCCUUGUACCUGUUAAACGAGACUGCCAGGUAUCACAUGUUUAAAUAUCAGACUAUUUCUAGAACCAUCGGAUUUCCUGGCUCCAUUCCACUCUUAUGCUUCUUCUUGGAGGCAGCUUCACCUCCACUCACAUUCCGGAGAUAAGCAUGAACUUUGGUAAUACGAUGAAGACAUGCUUCUUUCUUCUUCCAUGCCCAGAUUUUUUCUUAAUCCAAAAUAAGUUUUAAAGUGAUUGGGGGAGGUGAGGGGGAAUAUUAAUGAUUUAAAUUUUUACCAAAACCCAUUUACAUUUGGAUGGUUUCACUUUCCACAAAGAAAAGCAACAACCCUGACUCUCCCAAAAAAACAAAACAAAACAAAAUAACAAAAAUAAAGCCAAACAUUAACUACCUCCCCAGCUCCACUGAAAACAAAACCAAAAACAAAACAAAUCAAAGCCUUAAGGAUUUAUGAACCAGGAGAGAGUGCAGCCCUUCUAGACUGAGCUGCAAAGAUGGCCCUGCCUCCAUGCCUUGUUGAACAUGAUGAUGCCCCUGGGAAUGGGAGGUGAUGGUUUUUUACUUCGGCCCUAGUACAGAGUAUGCUCUUGAAGCUGGAUUCCAUCAGCAGGUUUUGGAAAUCACUAGUGGGUAAAAAAGACCAAUUUGCAACUAGGCUCUCAUGCUCUAUUGAAAACUAUGUCACAAUAUCACAAUACUAGAUGCUGGGCUCAAGAGAGCAAACAGAAAGCAGCAAGGGCAGUGACUGGAAGCUGGGAGAGAGGGUCAACAGCUGAAUCUCAGCCUGAUGGAGGCCAC
Molecule: non-coding RNA, 804 nt
Filed under: Pan troglodytes (chimpanzee)
Lineage: Eukaryota; Metazoa; Chordata; Mammalia; Primates; Hominidae
Source: RNAcentral